AUGAACGCUGGCGGCGUGCCUAAUACAUGCAAGUCGAGCGAACGGACGAGAAGCUUGCUUCUCUGAUGUUAGCGGCGGACGGGUGAGUAACACGUGGAUAACCUACCUAUAAGACUGGGAUAACUUCGGGAAACCGUAGCUAAUACCGGAUAAUAUUUUGAACCGCAUGGUUCAAAAGUGAAAGACGGUCUUGCUGUCACUUAUAGAUGGAUCCGCGCUGCAUUAGCUAGUUGGUAAGGUAACGGCUUACCAAGGCAACGAUGCAUAGCCGACCUGAGAGGGUGAUCGGCCACACUGGAGCUGAGACACGGUCCAGACUCCUACGGGAGGCAGCAGUAGGGAAUCUUCCGCAAUGGGCGAAAGCCUGACGGAGCAACGCCGCGUGAGUGAUGAAGGUCUUCGGAUCGUAAAACUCUGUUAUUAGGGAAGAACAUAUGUGUAAGUAACUGUGCACAUCUUGACGGUACCUAAUCAGAAAGCCACGGCUAACUACGUG
This 496-nucleotide ribosomal RNA is filed under the name uncultured bacterium. RNAcentral's name for it is "partial 16S ribosomal RNA". It matches the Rfam family "Bacterial small subunit ribosomal RNA", at positions 29 to 507 of the family's 1533-position model. The record is from RNAcentral.